This 634-nucleotide long non-coding RNA is filed under the name Trifolium pratense (red clover). Its description in RNAcentral is "long non-coding RNA (TPRA_LNC009045)". Lineage: Eukaryota; Viridiplantae; Streptophyta; Magnoliopsida; Fabales; Fabaceae. The record is from RNAcentral.
UAAACAACAAUGUAGAAAUUGGCUUAGCGGUGAGAGAUGAAAGGCAAAUAAAAAAUAAUGUGGGUUUACGACAAUACUGCUGAAGAAUAAAAAAAUAUUAUAAAAAAUAUGUAAAUAUGUGAUCAGUGAGGUUCGAUCAGGUGACUAUGAAAAUUAAGCUCCGAGAAGUAAUUUAUUUCAAAGUAGUUAUCAACUCCUUUUGUUCAAAGCUCCUUCUAUUCAAUUUUUUACAUAUUAAAAUAAGUAUUUUUUUCUAUUAAGUACUUAAUUUAUACUACUAUUGUGUUUGGCCUACCUUCUACUUAAUAAUAUAAAAAAGUUAAAAAAAAUUCGGCCAAACGGUACCAUAGUAUCUGAUCAAUCAAGUGUAUUAAACAAUUUUGUGACUAAUAACAUUUUCACUUGUCGCGCCUCUUGCACCCAAAAUUUGUGCCAGUAUUGUUUUUAUCAAUUCCUACGGCUAUUUUACCGUAAAAAAAUAAUAUUCCUACGGCUAUUUUCUGCUUCUUGCGCUCAUAUAUUCUCUAAUUUGUCUGCAACAAUGGUCCAUGAGAUUUGUCUUUUCACAUGAACUACUAGAUAAAUAAAAAAAUAAUUAAUGGUUGGUAAACAAUAAUGAACUCUAAUUUUUUUU